RNAcentral lists this ribosomal RNA (253 nucleotides) under uncultured bacterium. RNAcentral describes it as "partial 16S ribosomal RNA". It matches the Rfam family "Bacterial small subunit ribosomal RNA", at positions 524 to 776 of the family's 1533-position model. The record is from RNAcentral.
UACGUAGGGGGCAAGCGUUGUCCGGAAUUAUUGGGCGUAAAGAGCGUGUAGGCGGUCCGGUAAGUCGGCUGUGAAAGCCCAGGGCUCAACCCUGGGAUGCCGGUCGAUACUGCCGGACUAGAGUUCGGAAGAGGCGAGUGGAAUUCCCGGUGUAGCGGUGAAAUGCGCAGAUAUCGGGAGGAACACCUAUGGCGAAGGCAGCUCGCUGGGACGUUACUGGCGCUGAGACGCGAAAGCGUGGGGAGCAAACAGG